Molecule: ribosomal RNA, 1482 nt
Filed under: uncultured Bordetella sp.
Lineage: Bacteria; Pseudomonadati; Pseudomonadota; Betaproteobacteria; Burkholderiales; Alcaligenaceae
Description: partial 16S-23S ribosomal RNA intergenic spacer
Rfam family: Bacterial small subunit ribosomal RNA
Source: RNAcentral
AGUUCGAUCAUGGCUCAGAUUGAACGCUGGCGGGAUGCUUUAUAUAUGCAAGUCGAACGGCAAGCACGGACUUCCGGUCUGGUGGCGAGUGGCGAACGGGUGAGUAAUGUAUCGGAACGUGCCUAGUAGCGGGGGAUAACUACGCGAAAGCGUAGCCAAUACCGCACACGCCCUUCGGGGGAGCGGGGACCUUCGCCUCGCACUAUUAGAGCGGCUGAUAUCGUAGAUUAGCUAGUUGAGGGUAACGGCUCACCAAGGCGACGAUCCGUAGCUGGUUUGAGAGGACGACCAGCCACACUGGGAUCAGGACACGGCCCAGACUUACGGGAGGCAGCAGUGGGGGCCUGGACAAUGGGGGAAACUCCCUGAUCCAGCCAUCCCCGCGUGUAUGAUGAAGGCCUUCUGGGUUGUAAAAGCACUUUUGGCAGGAAAGAAACGGCACGGGAUAAUACCCUGCAACUGACGGUACCUGCAGAAUAAGCACAGGCUAACUACGUGCCAGCAGCCGCGGUAACAUAGGUGCAAGCGUUAAUCGGAAUUACUGGGCGUAAAGCGUGCGCAGGCGGUUCGCGAAAGAUGUGAAAUCCCAGAGCUUAACUUUGAACUGCAUUUUUAACUACCGAGCUAGAGUGUGUCAGAGGGAGGUGAAUUCCGCGUGUAGCAGUGAAAUGCGUAGAUAUGCGGAGGAACACCGAUGGCGAAGGCAGCCUCCUGGGAUAACACUGACGCCUGCGCACGAAAGCGUGGGGGAGCAAACAGGAUUAGAUACCCUGGUAGUCCACGCCCUAAACGAUGUUGUCAACCACGUUGGGGCCUUCGGCCUGGUAGCGCAGCUAAUCGCGUGAAGUUGACCGCCUGGGGAGUACGGUCGCAAGAUUAAAACUCAAAGGAAUUGACGUGGGGACCCGCACAAGCGGUGGAUGAUGUGGAUUAAUUGAUGCACCACAAAAAACCUACCUACUCCUUGAUAUGUCUGGAAUCCUGAAGAGAUUUGGGGAGUGCUCGCAAGAGAACCGAACACAGGAAGUCAGCGGUCACGUCAGCUCGUGUCGUGAGAUGUUGGGUUAAGUCCCGGCAACGAGCGCAACCUUUGUCAUUAGUUGCUACGAAAGGGCAGACCGACGACUGCUGCGACAAACCGAGGAAGGUGGGGAUGACGUCAAGUCCUCGCGGCUCCCGCGGGUAGGGCUUCGUUAAUACGUCAUACAAUGGUCGGGACAGAGGGUCGCCAACCCGCGAGGGGGAGCCAAUCCCCAGAAACCCGAUCGUAGUCCGGAUCGCAGUCUGCACCUUGACUGCGUGAAGUCGGAAUCGCUAGUAAUCGCGGAUCAGCAUGUCGCGGUGAAUACGUUCCCGGGUCUUGUACAUACCGCCCGUCACACCAUGGGAGUGGGUUUUACCAGAAGUAGUUAGCCUAACUGCAAGGAGGGCGAUUACCACGGUAGUAGGAUUCAUGACUGGGGUGAAGUCGUAACAAGGUAG